Long non-coding RNA from Tetranychus urticae (two-spotted spider mite), 1672 nucleotides. RefSeq lists it as uncharacterized. The record is from RefSeq and is a predicted model, not a curated record. NCBI's taxonomy places the organism in Eukaryota, Metazoa, Arthropoda, Arachnida, Trombidiformes, Tetranychidae.
CUAGUCAGAAUAUAUUAAUCAGAGCUAAUUAAUUAAUCAAUUAAUUGAAUAAUACAAGGAAAAGAAUCUUUUGAAAAGAGAAAAAAUUAAAAGAGCUCAAAAUGAAGAGCCGAGAAUCAGCUUACAAAACAAGUGAGCAAGAGGGAAAGAAAGAGAGGGUAAAACAAAAAAGAGGGAUGUUUGAGCAAAGAGAUGUUUUAACAUGUGACACUUGACCAGUUGAUUAUUUUCUGAUUACUUUUACAUCGUGCUUUUUUAUCUUCUUUUACCAUGUUUAUUCAUCUAUUAAAUUGUAAUUUAUAACUUAAUUCACUCCAUGUUCAAUAAUCUGCUAACCGGUCAACGAGUUAACUGUUUUCUGGUAAACUGUUAUCUUUUGUCUGUUUCAAACAAUCGUUUGCUACGACAUUCACAAUGUUAUCGCUCUUCAUUCUAUUCAAUUUGAAUCUUGUUUUCCAGUUUUAACUUAACAAUGUAAUAAAAUAUCUUUCCUCUGUUCACCCCAAGCAACGAUAUUUUGUUAUCUUUUCUAAGAUUCAUUCUCUGACGUUCAUUGAUUAAUCGAUUGAUAUCUUUAUUGUUGGCUGGUUGGCUGGUUGUUCAACAAAUUGAAGCAAAUUUUUGCAUACUUUCAUGGUUAUUGGAUUGGAUUUUCUAGCUGAUAUGGUUUAUAUGUUAUGUGCAGCAACUAGUGUUAAAAGUAAUUUAUUGUAAUCAACUUAAUUAUUAAUAAAUCAAGUUGGACCGAGGCAACGAAUCUGGAUAAGGAAACACUGAUACAACCUAAAAAUUACAUUCAACAUGAUCAUCUUACUAAACCCAAAUUCACAAGCUAAAUGGUUAUCUUCUGGUUCAUCUUCUGGUAACAAAUGAUUUACAUCAAUUAUCUAAUCAACACUCUUGCAAUUGAACUCGGUAGCCAAGUUAUAUGAAAAAAAUAUACCGAAAGAGGCAACAAAAGCUUGUGAUUAAAUGAAACAAUUUAGCUUGGAUAAGUGGAAAAGCAGCAGCAAAAGAAACCAAAAUGUUAAACUUGUUUACAUAAUUUAGAUUAAAGAUGGCAAAAGUAGAUGAAGGAGUAAUUUUUUGUUGGCGCAACCAUUAUAAGGAUAACAAUUUAUUUAAUUUAUGUCCUUGCUACAUAAUUAACUUUUCCCUUCUCAUUUAAUUCAAUCUUAAUCAAAUAUUAUUUUAAACUACAUCAACUAAAACAUUUGUUAGAAGGGAAAACAACUUUAUCUUCUUCAAGUUUACCUCUAAACGGUUGGUGAUACAUUUAACCGUAAUUGGUUAAACUAACCAAAGGAACAAUCAAUCGAUGGAUAAACACAUCUGAGCAAUCAAUCUACUCACAUUUGGGUUCCCAGAAUCAUAAGAUGAUGGGUUGGAAGAAAUUUCAGCUUGAACUCGAGAGGACCGUGAAACGGCAAAGGAAACUAAAGCAAGAGACAAAAUCCACUUCAUUUUCAGAGCAAAGACAAAGACAAUAUUGUUAAUGAUUUGAGAUACAAUUUACACAAUCUAUUUAUGUAUCAAACCAAUAAGAUCAAUCAGUUUAACAUAAUGCUAUCACAUGCCAUUUUUUAUUAUUCAAUUAACUGUGACGAGAUGAUUUAUCAUAUAAUUGAGUUUACUGUUAACUGGUUAAUAACUUUAAUCUAGGUUGGUUCAA